This 491-nucleotide ribosomal RNA is filed under the name uncultured bacterium. RNAcentral describes it as "partial 16S ribosomal RNA". It matches the Rfam family "Bacterial small subunit ribosomal RNA", at positions 29 to 507 of the family's 1533-position model. The record is from RNAcentral.
GUGAACGCUGGCGGUAGGCCUAACACCUGCAAGUCGAACGGCAGCACAGUAAGAGCUUGCUCUUACGGGUGGCGAGUGGCGGACGGGUGAGGAAUACAUCGGAAUCUACUUUUUCGUGGGGGAUAACGUAGGGAAACUUACGCUAAUACCGCAUACGACCUACGGGUGAAAGCAGGGGAUCUUCGGACCUUGCGCGAUUGAAUGAGCCGAUGUCGGAUUAGCUAGUUGGCGGGGUAAAGGCCCACCAAGGCGACGAUCCGUAGCUGGUCUGAGGGGAUGAUCAGCCACACUGGAACUGAGACACGGUCCAGACUCCUACGGGAGGCAGCAGUGGGGAAUAUUGGACAAUGGGCGCAAGCCUGAUCCAGCCAUACCGCGUGGGUGAAGAAGGCCUUCGGGUUGUAAAGCCCUUUUGUUGGGAAAGAAAAGCAGCAGGUUAAUACCCCGCUGUUCUGACGGUACCCAAAGAAUAAGCACCGGCUAACUUCGCG